GUUGUUUUAGUGACUACAGUGUUUCUUUAAAAAAAAAAAAAUCAGAGGUAAAGGCUAAUCAGCCAAGUCAUACCACAAACAAACUCAGAGUUGCACAAUAUAGUGCUAUAAUAAGGAAAUAAAAACCAGGCAAUGUCACAAAAGCAAUAAUGACUGUAAUUUAAAAAGAGCCUUCCAGCCUGACAAUAAACUCCUCAGCUCACUAGAAAUAAUGCAGUG
This is a non-coding RNA of Pelobates cultripes (western spadefoot toad), 219 nucleotides long. NCBI's taxonomy places the organism in Eukaryota, Metazoa, Chordata, Amphibia, Anura, Pelobatidae. The record is from the annotation of a GenBank genome assembly.